UACAGAGGGGGCAAGCGUUAUUCGGAAUUAUUGGGCGUAAAGGGCUCGUAGGCGGUUUGUCGCGUCGGGAGUGAAAACACCGGGCUUAACUCGGUGCUUGCUUUCGAUACGGGCAGACUAGAGGCAUGCAGGGGAGAACGGAAUUCCUGGUGUAGCGGUGAAAUGCGCAGAUAUCAGGAGGAACACCGGUGGCGAAGGCGGGUCUCUGGGCAGUAACUGACGCUGAGGAGCGAAAGCGUGGGGAGCGAACAGG
This 253-nucleotide ribosomal RNA is filed under the name uncultured bacterium. RNAcentral describes it as "partial 16S ribosomal RNA". It matches the Rfam family "Bacterial small subunit ribosomal RNA", at positions 524 to 776 of the family's 1533-position model. The record is from RNAcentral.